UAACAUUCCCAUGUCUUUUCUCCUACUUCCUCUCCCACUGCACGUGUCCUUCUUCUGCAGUCUCUCCGACUAAAAAGUCUCUGUUAGAACUACACUUCCCUUCAGCAAUGAUGGCAGCUGAGCUGCCUCGGCUCCCCGUUACGGCUCUUUCCAAGUUAUUCUACGCUACAACUAUGAGUUUGUCACGGCCAAAGUCAGAGGUUCCGGGUUGACCUCGUUGGCUUCAAUGCUCAGCUGUCCAAACGACGCCACUUCCUCUUCCGCCGACAGCGCGUAUUACCCAAUUUCUCUGUUUCCAACUCUCUCCAGACUACGCGUGAACUUCAGGAUUCUCCCAUUGAAGCUCCCGAGCGCUUCAGGGACUCCCCCCUGCUACUCGAUGUGAGCGGAAUGAUGUGCGGCGCGUGCG
This 409-nucleotide long non-coding RNA is filed under the name Linum usitatissimum (flax). RNAcentral describes it as "long non-coding RNA (LUSI_LNC006944)". The record is from RNAcentral. Lineage: Eukaryota; Viridiplantae; Streptophyta; Magnoliopsida; Malpighiales; Linaceae.